CGCAAUUCUUCAAAAUCUUAGC
RNAcentral lists this microRNA (22 nucleotides) under Bos taurus (domestic cattle). RNAcentral's name for it is "Bta-Mir-7858_3p* (star (passenger))". Lineage: Eukaryota; Metazoa; Chordata; Mammalia; Artiodactyla; Bovidae. The record is from RNAcentral.